This 951-nucleotide ribosomal RNA is filed under the name Caryophyllaeus brachycollis. RNAcentral describes it as "large subunit ribosomal RNA". It matches the Rfam family "Bacterial large subunit ribosomal RNA", at positions 581 to 2715 of the family's 2925-position model. Lineage: Eukaryota; Metazoa; Platyhelminthes; Cestoda; Caryophyllidea; Caryophyllaeidae. The record is from RNAcentral.
ACAAUAAAUCGUAAAAUUUCUUGUGGUUUGUGGGUUGGUGUGCCUUUUGCCUCAUGCUAAUUCAAGUGUUUGGUUUAUACCUUAUACCGAAAUCUCCGGAUCUUUCCUCCAAAUCGUUAAGAACUGUCAGUGGGUAACUGAGUAUAUUUGGGGAAUGGGGUGAUAAAUUAAUCGUCGGGGAGUAUACCUGUUUGGAGGAGAAGUUUCCUAUUAAGGGUGGGGGUGAUGAGAUCCUUACUCCGAUUAUAUUUAUAGUAGUGAUAUAUUAAACUAAGGUUAGGGUUACCUCUGUUUUUUGAUUAUGUUAAAAUAUCAAUUAGAUGUUGUUAUAAAUUAAUUUGAUCAUCCUCCUAUAUUAAUCAUUGAAGGUAAUUUAUGAGUUAAUCAGUAAUUAUAGUAGUAUAAAUCUAUCUCGAGCCGAGUCCAACUGUUUAUUAAAAACAUUUCUGCUUUUAUAUAUAUAAGCAGUACGACCUGCCCGGUGUGAUAUUAACGGCCGCAGUAUUAUGACUGUGCGAAGGUAGCAUAAUUAAUUGCCCCAUAAUUGGGGGCUUGUCUGAAAGGUUUUAUGUGACUCGAGCCAAGAUUUGUAUUUUUAUUGAAGUUAAUUUUGUGGGUAAAGAAUCCACAAUGGAUAGUAAGACGGAAAGACCCCAGGAUCUUUUGUUUUGUCUGGGGCAGAUUAUAUUGUUUUAACAUGUUUUGGACCCUUAGAUUAGAGAGUUAAGUUACCCUGGGGAUAACAGAGUAAUAGUUUAUUAGAGACCAUAUCGAUUAAACUGCUUGCUACCUCGAUGUUGACUUGGGUUCGCUUAAUGGCGCAGUAGUUGUUAAGCAAGGUCUGUUCGACCAUAAUACCCUCAUGAGUUGAGUUAAGACCGGCGUGAGCCAGGUCGGUUCUUAUCUACUGGUGUGGUGGGCUAGUACGAAAGGACCUCCCAUCAUUUUAUU